This is a long non-coding RNA of Suricata suricatta (meerkat), 615 nucleotides long. RefSeq lists it as uncharacterized. Lineage: Eukaryota; Metazoa; Chordata; Mammalia; Carnivora; Herpestidae. The record is from RefSeq and is a predicted model, not a curated record. The transcript is spliced from 5 exons.
AAACUGACUUUUGGAGCCGGGUCCAGUGGGAUGGGAACCAGAGCAGCACUCGGUACAGAGAGCAAACUCUUAAUCAGCCAUGCCUGAGGGCAGCGGGUCUUACCCCAGGCUGACCAGUCAGUCACUUGAGAAGCUUCCAAAACAUGCGGAUUCCCACUAGGAGCUGGGGUGGAUCCCAGGCAGCCGAGCUGGCUAAUCAGUGUUACUUGCUAUCAAGAGCUGGAGGCACUGGACUUCUAUUGCUUUUGAGUCCCUGCAGGUCCUGAAUACACACAGAAGAACCCACUGUUGCCCCCAAAGGGCUCUCAGCCUGUAGGAGGAGGUGGAUAUGUAAGCAAAUACGUGUAAUGUGGAGUGGAGCCACGUGACCUGUUCGGACCAAUAGCGUGAGCACAGAUGCUGUGCGUCAUAUCCAUGCCCAAUUGCCCUGUGGAGCCCCUCCAGAACCCCCAUCUCCUGGCGUGUCUCAGAGAGGCUGAGCAGAAGUCCCCUGACUACCCGGGUGCCCAGACAGGAAACGUAUCGAGUUGUCCAUUCGGGAUAAUCAAGAAGUAAAGUUGAGGGGCGCCCGGGUGGCUCAGUUGGUUAAGCGUCCGACUUCGGCUCAGGUCAUGA